This 1954-nucleotide long non-coding RNA is filed under the name Hordeum vulgare. RNAcentral describes it as "long non-coding RNA (HVUL_LNC020581)". Lineage: Eukaryota; Viridiplantae; Streptophyta; Magnoliopsida; Poales; Poaceae. The record is from RNAcentral.
ACAUGAUAAUAUAUGCACUUAUCUUGUUGUGGACAUUCAGAUCUCCGUGCAUUGAGCUAACAUGAAAGGAUAUAGCAAAAUAACCUUUUAUUGGUACCAACAUAACUUUAUUAUGAAAGGGCACCAUGUCUACUAACCCAAAUUUCAUGUCUUUGUCCAGUCUUUGCUCACCUUCAGUUAUGCCGGAAUAAAAAAUGUCAAGCAAUGAAAGAAAAACUCCAGAGCAUCCAGUUUUUCAUCCACUUUUCACUUUUUCUCUCAGCUAGCAAAACAUCAAAUAUGUCGAGGAUUUGUUUACGCCAUUUCUGUAUUUUUGUAUGCUCUUGGUCUUCAACAGUGGACUUGUUCUCAUAUGCAGAACCUUCAGGACCUAUAAUCAAGGAAUCAAUGUGAGCCCCUUUGGCUAAUCUAUGGAUUAGUCUUGAGCAAAAAAUUUAUAGAUACCAAUAUCAUUUGAAGUUUAGGUAUCUCCUUUGACUUCUCGUAACCAAGAGAAUAGUUUUCACAUUGUUCUUCAAAGUCAUGAAAUGGAUAGUGGAGAAAGAAAACAUGAAAAAUUGAUAAAUAACAAAAAGGAAACAAUUUAAAAAUUUCCUACCAUAAAUAGCAUGAUCUGUGAAUAGGAUGUCAAACCUGAAUGUGCAAACAAAUAUGAUUUGUGAAUAGGAUGUUACGGUGAAAAUGCAAGAAAAAUAAGAAACACCAUCCACUUAGUACAAUAGAAGAAUUGUUAAUAAGAAACUGCUGACUCCACAUUCAUGUCAAAUUUUAUUGGAAACUUAGAAUGCAGUUCUUUCAUCUGAGAAAUGGUGCUACUUUCGAAUUGUGCGACAUUUGAGAGACCAAAGUAUCAACAGUAAAAUAUGGUGGCGCACACACCUUUGUAGAGAAAUAUAAAGGGAGUGAAAGUCGUUAGACACGAUACUUUACAUUCCAGUAGUAUACUUCCAUGGCUAAGGUUAAAAUUAACAAUUGAUUUCACACGUGGUGAAUACAAUAUAAUCAAGCAUAUACAUUUCAAUGCACCUGAUGAACGCAGAACAUCAGCUUUUUGUAAUCUUGCAGAUAAGAACCUAAGCGCCUUAUUUGUUGUCAUGAAUUUUGAAUAUCAGGCAUACUUAAAUUUUGAAAGCAUCUAGUGUUUUUAAAACACAUUGAAGUCCAUUUUUGGAGGAAAAAAAAUUAGGAGCAUAGAAUCGCAACCUAUCCGGACUGAAUUGGAAUUUUUUUACUUGCCUUGGUGCUGACAUGUAGGUAAGCACCUAGUCAGCAUUGGCUCCAUUAGUGUUUGGGGUUGUGGGUAGUCGCUUGCUCAGUCAUUUUAAACAGAUUAGGCCUGUUCGCGAGGAUCUCUCCUUCCAUUGUACCACACUAUAAUGACAGAUAAAAAAUAAUUUGGACAGUGUAUUAGAUUAGAGAACACACUGUAAACAUCGUUGUGACAAAUACUAUGCAGUCUACCAUAACGACGUUCAAUAAUUUAUAUGCUUCUCUACUCUUAGAUCCUUGCGAGUGGAGUCUACCAUAACGUUCAAUAAUUUAUAUGCUUCACUAUUCUUAGAUCCUUGCGAUUCAGACAGUAAGCUUCUAGUGCUAAGACCACUUCUUUACAUCUUUUAGCAGCGGUCCCUCCACCCAUUAAACCUUUAUCAUGGUAAACAUGCAAGACAUUACGAGAGCAGUUAUUAAUGAGACACCAAGAAAAAAGGCAUGUAGAGCCAAACAAUGCUUCCAUUUUGUAACAUGUUUUAAUUGUAUUCAAAUACAUAAUGAAAUUAAGGCAGAAUAUUUGUAGAUGGCUUAGUGCCAAAGAGAAAGCACUUGUAGCCAUGCACGUUUAUCAUUUAUGAUAUUUUCUACUGCACAAGUGUUUAGUUUAUUGCUACUUAGGAAUAACCGGUUAAAUAAGAUGACUUACAGAGAUCCAACUUUUAGUAAAGCAGAGCAGUUCGUG